AUUGAACGCUGGCGGCAUGCUUUACACAUGCAAGUCGAACGGCAGCACGGGGGCGAACCCUCGGUGGCGAGUGGCGAACGGGUGAGUAACACAUCGGAACGUGCCCAGUUGUGGGGGAGUAACCUAUCGAAAGGUAGGCUAAUACCGCAUGAGCUCGGCAAGAGGAAAGCGGGGGACUCAGCGAUGGACCUCGCGCGACUGGAGCGGCCGAUGUCCGAUUAGCAGUUGGUGGGGUAAAGGCUUACCAAGGCGACGACCGGUAGCUGGUCUGAGAGGAUGAUCAGCCACACUGGGACUGAGACACGGCCCAGACUCCUACGGGAGGCAGCAGUGGGAAUUUUGGACAAUGGGGCAACCCUGAUCCAGCCAUGCCGCGUGAGUGAAGAAGGCC
Molecule: ribosomal RNA, 391 nt
Filed under: uncultured bacterium
Lineage: Bacteria
Description: bacterial SSU rRNA
Rfam family: Bacterial small subunit ribosomal RNA
Source: RNAcentral